CCUACGGGGGGCUGCAGUGGGGAAUAUUGGACAAUGGGGGGAACCCUGAUCCAGCCAUGCCGCGUGUGUGAAGAAGGCCCUCGGGUUGUAAAGCACUUUCAGUGAGGAAGAACGCCUGGUGGUUAAUACCCACCAGGAAAGACAUCACUCACAGAAGAAGCACCGGCUAACUCCGUGCCAGCAGCCGCGGUAAUACGGAGGGUGCGAGCGUUAAUCGGAAUUACUGGGCGUAAAGCGCGCGCAGGUGGCUUGAUAAGCCGGUUGUGAAAGCCCCGGGCUCAACCUGGGAACGGCAUCCGGAACUGUCAAGCUAGAGUGCAGGAGAGGAAGGUAGAAUUCCCGGUGUAGCGGUGAAAUGCGUAGAGAUCGGGAGGAAUACCAGUGGCGAAGGCGGCCUUCUGGACUGACACUGACACUGAGGUGCGAAAGCGUGGGUAGCAAACAGGAUUAGAUACCCGAGUAGUC
Molecule: ribosomal RNA, 465 nt
Filed under: Vreelandella stevensii
Lineage: Bacteria; Pseudomonadati; Pseudomonadota; Gammaproteobacteria; Oceanospirillales; Halomonadaceae
Description: partial 16S ribosomal RNA
Rfam family: Bacterial small subunit ribosomal RNA
Source: RNAcentral